Molecule: ribosomal RNA, 427 nt
Filed under: uncultured archaeon
Lineage: Archaea
Description: bacterial SSU rRNA
Rfam family: Archaeal small subunit ribosomal RNA
Source: RNAcentral
UACCAGCUCUUCGAGUGGUGUGGAUGUUUAUUGGGCCUAAAGCAUCCGUAGCUGGCUGGGCAAGUCCCCUGUUAAAUCCACCGAUUUAAUCGUUGGAGUGCGGGGGAUACUGUUCGGCUAGGGGACGGGAGAGGCAGACGGUAUUUUCGGGGUAGGGGUGAAAUCCUAUAAUCCCGGGAAGACCACCAGUGGCGAAGGCUGUCUGCUAGAACGCGCCCGACGGUGAGGGAUGAAAGCUGGGGGAGCGAACCGGAUUAGAUACCCGGUGGUCCCAGCUGUAAACGAUGCAGGCUAGGUGUUUGGGCGGCCACGUGCCGCUCUAGUGCCGCAGGGAAGCCGUUAAGCCUGCCGCCUGGGGAGUACGGCCGCAAGGCUGAAACUUAAAGGAAUUGGCGGGGAGCACCACAAGGGGUGAAGCUUGCGGUUU